GACGAACGCUGGCGGCGUGCCUAAUACAUGCAAGUAGAACGCUGAAGGAGGAGCUUGCUUCUCUGGAUGAGUUGCGAACGGGUGAGUAACGCGUAGGUAACCUGCCUGUUAGCGGGGGAUAACUAUUGGAAACGAUAGCUAAUACCGCAUAAUAGUAGAUGUUGCAUGACAUUUGCUUAAAAGGUACAAUUUCAUCACUACCAGAUGGACCUUCGUUGUAUUAUCUAGUUGGUGGUGUAACGGCUCACCAAGGCGACGAUACAUAGCCGACCUGAGAGGGGGAUCGGCCAAACUGGGAAUGAGAACAGGCCCAGAAUCCUAAGGGAGGCAGCAGUAGGGAAUCUUCGGGAAUGGACGGAAGUCUGACCGAGGAAAGCCGCGUGAGUGAAGAAGGGUUUCGGAUCGUAAAGCUCUGUUGUAUGGGAAGAAAGAGUGUGAGAGUGGACAGUUCACACUGUGACGGUAUCUUAUCAGAAAGAGACGGCUAACUACGUG
RNAcentral lists this ribosomal RNA (495 nucleotides) under uncultured bacterium. Its description in RNAcentral is "partial 16S ribosomal RNA". It matches the Rfam family "Bacterial small subunit ribosomal RNA", at positions 28 to 507 of the family's 1533-position model. The record is from RNAcentral.